GGCUAGUUGAAUCACAAUCCUGUAAAACUUCCCCUUCCACUUUUCAAGCAGUUUAUGAUCAUAGAGGAUUCCUACUUCACAUCUCCACUUCACCAUCCUACUUUAGACAUAUGGAUAGCAUCCUCCCCACUUGCCCCAUAUCUUUGUACUAUAAAUCCUAGGAAUUUGAAGUGUGUGCUUUGGGGACCUUUAUGUCAUUUGAGCUAA
This 207-nucleotide unclassified non-coding RNA is filed under the name Hevea brasiliensis (rubber tree). Lineage: Eukaryota; Viridiplantae; Streptophyta; Magnoliopsida; Malpighiales; Euphorbiaceae. The record is from RNAcentral.